Long non-coding RNA from Oryzias melastigma (Indian medaka), 1036 nucleotides. RefSeq lists it as uncharacterized. The record is from RefSeq and is a predicted model, not a curated record. NCBI's taxonomy places the organism in Eukaryota, Metazoa, Chordata, Actinopteri, Beloniformes, Adrianichthyidae. The transcript is spliced from 2 exons.
ACUUCUGCUUGAUUUUGACCUUCUGUUCCGGUCAUCGGAGCAGAACAGGCUUUAUCAGUGGUUAACAUGACAACGUGCACGAAGACGGAAAUGCUGCAACAAUGUUCAGCGUGCAGGUGCGUCUGCUUCCACAUCACAAUUUGAUAAAGGUGUGUAAAUUUAGCCACAAAAACCUUAACGAGGUUUGAGAGAAACGUGACUGAACAUGAGUUAAAACUGAGGACUCUGUCAUUAAAAUGAUCGUUUUCUUUUGCAACUUCUGUCUUAACUUGUGCUGCAUGAAGAGCAGGAUCCCGAACAUGAGCAUUUCCACAGAUGGACUCCUAAUUCAGGGCAUGCUGAGGCGUUGACGUGCCGCAGACCUACCAUUCUGCAGUCGGCCACGGCGCGCUGGGCUUUGCGGGUACUUUCGGUGCUCUCCCUCCUCUGUGGGUCUCGAUGAGGAGGCUUUCCGAUCUGGAAGAUGUUCCCGGUGGAUCUGGGGCGAUUUUUGCGCCCAUUCGAUGCCGAACUCAUGCAUACACAUCCAAUAUUCAAACAGCCCCAAAGACAGAAUGGUUUUUCUGUGAUUCCCUCCCCCCUUUAAAAAAAAAAAAGAACUCCGCUCCUCCUGCACCUCACCGUUCACCUUUUUCCGCUCCUCCGCUCAGCUCAGGCUCGCUUCCCCCCCUCUGUCUGCAGUUUGUCACCGUCUUUCGUCCUAAUGUGCGAAAGGAGGCAAAUGUUUUCCCAGACGAGCCUGAGGGCGCAGGAGAAGUGGGGAAUGAGCGCCUGUGGCUCCUCUCCGCAUUGCCUCCACCGCGCCGCGCCGCACCGGGGCUGAAGUCACCUUCACUCCAGCAGCUCUGGCGCACAGUGAGCCCUUCACACCCAAAGCAGGAGUCGAGCUUUCUGCGGCGUCUUCUCUGAUGUCAGGAGGAAGCGCGCGCUCUCACGGACACUCUGCGACCAUUUUCACCAUUGCGCCUUUCCAUUAACGAUCUCUGCAAACCGACAAUGUCACGGCGACGCGACACUUCCAGCCCCCUGUUACGUU